This 229-nucleotide unclassified non-coding RNA is filed under the name uncultured fungus. RNAcentral's name for it is "sequence contains ITS2". Lineage: Eukaryota; Fungi. The record is from RNAcentral.
AACGCACAUUGCACCUUUUGGUAUUCCGAAAGGUAUACUUGUUCGAGCGCCGUUUUCAUAAUUCAAGCUAUUGCUUGGUGUUGAAUUGGUUUCUAUGGAAACCAUUCGAAACUCUUAGGCAUUGGAAGUCCAAGAUCUAAAGCAUGACUGCUAAAAAUCUAGCUGUUCAAUUGCCAAUUGAAAACAUCUUGAUGGCCUCGGAUCAAGUAAGGUUACCCGCUGAACUUAA